RNAcentral lists this ribosomal RNA (1242 nucleotides) under metagenome. Its description in RNAcentral is "bacterial LSU rRNA". It matches the Rfam family "Bacterial large subunit ribosomal RNA", at positions 1564 to 2815 of the family's 2925-position model. The record is from RNAcentral.
UGAAUACGAGAUGCUACGGCGUCGAAGCAGUCUAUGUCAUACUUCCAAGAAAAGCUUGCACUGUCAUAAACAAAUAAUGCCUGUACCAUAACCGACACAGGUGGGUAGGUAGAGUAUACUAAGGGGCGCGAGAUAACUCUCUCUAAGGAACUCGGCAAAAUGACUCCGUAACUUCGGGAGAAGGAGUGCCUUAUUUAUAAGGUUGCAAUAACAAGAUCCAAGCAACUGUUUACCAAAAACACAGGUCUCCGCUAAGUCGUAAGACGAUGUAUGGGGGCUGACGCCUGCCCAGUGCCAGAAGGUUAAAGAAGUUGGUUAGCAUCCGCGAAGCUGAUAACUGAAGCCCUGGUGAACGGCGGCCGUAACGAUAACGGUCCUAAGGUAGCGAAAUUCCUUGUCGGGUAAGUUCCGACCCGCACGAAAGGCGUAAUGAUUUGGAUACUGUCUCGGAGAGGGGCUCGGUGAAAUAGACUUGUCUGUGAAGAUGCGGACUACCUGCACCAGGACAGAAAGACCCUAUGAAGCUUUACUGUAACCUGAAAUUGAAAUUGGACUUUACUUGCGCAGUAUAGGUGGGAGGCGUUGAGAAUAUUCUUGCGGGAUUAUUGGAGCCAUCAGUGAGAUACCACUCUUGUAAUGUUAGAUUUCUAACUUUGUAUCAUUAUCUGGUCAAAGAACAGUUUCAGGCGGGCAGUUUGACUGGGGCGGUCGCCUCCUAAACGGUAACGGAGGCGCACAAAGGUUUCCUCUGAACGGGUAGAAAUCGUAUCUAGAGUGUAAAGGCAUAAGGAAGCUUGACUGUGAGACCUACAAGUCGAGCAGGGACGAAAGUCGGUCUUAGUGAUCUGACGGUGCUGAGUGGAAAGGCCGUCACUCAACGGAUAAAAGUUACUCUAAGGAUAACAGGCUGAUCUCCCCCAAGAGUUCACAUCGACGGGGAGGCUUGGCACCUCGAUGUCGGCUCAUCGCAUCCUGGGGCGGUAGUACGUCCCAAGGGUUGGGCUGUUCGCCCAUGAAAGCGGUACGCGAGCUGGGUUCAGAACGUCGUGAGACAGUUCGGUCCAUAUCCGGUGUAGGCGUUAGAAUAUUGAGAGGAGCCUUCUUUAGUACGAGAGGACCGAGAAGGACAUACCUCUGGUGUACCAGUUAUCGUGCCAACGGUAAACGCUGGGUAGCUAUGUGUGGAGUGGAUAACCGCUGAAAGCAUCUAAGUGGGAGGCCCACCUCAAGAUAAGUAUUCUC